This 8024-nucleotide long non-coding RNA is filed under the name Sus scrofa (pig). Its description in RNAcentral is "lncRNA (ENSSSCG00030044021.1)". Lineage: Eukaryota; Metazoa; Chordata; Mammalia; Artiodactyla; Suidae. The record is from RNAcentral.
AAUCUGUUGUUGUUUUAGGACUUGAGAGCAUCUGAACCAGGGGCCCGAGGGAGUCCCAUGUGGGACGGAAGAGCCCAGGACUUCUGGCAGUCUUAUCUGGGCAGAAGGCCUAUGUGGCAUCCUGGACAAGGACUGUCUGAUGGAGGAGCUCCAGAGUGCUCCAAACGGGCCACCCUCUUUUGCGGAGUAGAAGCAAGCACCUGAGGGAAAAGGGAAGCUCUCUUGUGAACAUCCCACCUCCCUUCUCCAGGCAAGCAUUGGCAGCCAGAUAAAGGGAGAACAUUCCAGAAAGAAAAUUCCCUCAAAGUAGUUCCAAAGAGCUUAUGUUUCCCCUUGCCUACUAAUCUGCCUGCCCUGGGCCCCCAUCCCUUCUGGAUCCCCCCAAACAGCUGUCUGUUCUGGUGGCUCACACAGGGUAGAGGGGCAGCCCCAUUUAUGGGGCCCAUGUGGGAGGCUGGAAGGGCCAAAAAGCCAGGUGCAAAGGGUUGGGAGGGGAAGUCAUGAACCGCAGUGGGACACCAUGGCCACCUGAGGAAAUGAGACUAUACCAUCCCUGGCCAACAUCCUCUCACCUGCUGCAGGAAGGUCUAGUGUGGGGCUGGUGAGUUGGAGGAACAGAGUGAAUGUUCCCCAUUCCCCAAAUGGCUGGGGACAUCUAUCUCUCUAAUUCGUUGGUUCUGAGACCCAGGUGUCAUAUCACAGGCCCCGAAGGGGAAGAAGUUGCUCUGUGUGGAAGAGUUGGGGAAAAUCCACGAGCUGUACCCACCUGCAAGGAUCCUUGCCUUCCAGAGGGCUGCCCUCUGGCCAAGCUGAAAGGAAAGAGACUCUGUGAUUUUUAAAAUAAUGUGAACUAUAGCUUCUCAUUCACUGAGCACUCAUUUUUCACACAUUUAUGCAUUUACUUCAAAAUAAAAUGGGUGUUAGGAUGCCCAUUUUACAGAUGAGGAAGCUGAAGCUUGGUAGAAGUAAGAGAUUUCCCAAGAGCACCCACCUAACAGCUAAAGAGUUGCAGGGUUGAGACCCAGGUCUACAAGCGCCCAAAGCACCAGAAGAUUCUUACAAGCUUUCUUCAGAGGGUGGAGAUGCUAGGGGAUGGAAACAGAGAAAAGGAUAUGGUGAGGUGACAGCCUGUCGGCAAGCAAGAGACAUCUCACCCUUGCUUCUUCCCCGGACCCUUGGAAAGGAAAACUUGCUCUUCUGGACUAGUGGCUUGAGGCCAAAAAAACAUUCUGUUUACACUUGGCCUUGCGAUAGACCCUGGAGAGACGGAUGGUCCUUUCCUAAGAGUGUUAUAUUUAUUUUUAGCACUUUUUGAUCUGCAGCACAUGUUCAAGUCACUUAACCCACUUAUUUCUGAAAACAACUGGGUGAGGAAGAGAGGGAUAGGGAAGAUUUCAUGACCCCCAUUGUACAGAUAAGGAAACAGAGGCUGAGAAGAGGGUCUCAUCACUGGGUAGCAGUAGACGGGCCGAGACCCUGCGUGCCCUGCCUCAUCUGAACCACGAGGCUCUCCCUGCCGCUGCCCCAAUCAGGCUCAGCCUUAUAUUGAUUUCACUCCCCAGGAAAGGGACAAUUGCAUCAAUGAUGUGUUGAAUUUGUGACGCCUCCAUUCAGCCCUUUCCUUACCCCAAGACCCCACCAGCCCCACUUGGAGGCCCUGGAAGAAUCUCAGGCAGCCUGGGAGGACCUGCCUCACUAUUCUGCUAACAAGAGAGAGAGACCACCUGAUCUUCCUGGCUUCCAACCCCCUUCGGGGUUUCAGGAAGAGAUCAAGGGAGGAGGAUGGCUUUCAGAAGUCUGAGUUUAGACAGAAAGAGGGAACGAAAGAGGGUCAUCACAAGGUCCAAGGGUGUGGCUCUAUGGGAGGGGCAGCUCCAUCCUCUGUGUGGGGUCACUGGUUGCAUUAAGCCAUGGAGGCUCAGGGUGACCAGCUAGAUGGGAAAUUUGACGAGAAAGAAGAACACCAAGAAGUAGUGUGGAGUCAUCCUCUUCAACCCAGGGAAACACACCCAACCUCACUCCCAGCCCAACCCCAAUCCCAGACUCUCCCCAAACUAAGCCAAUUACCCUUAAAUGUGCCCUAAGGACUUCGCACACCCGGCCCGUCCCUGAAGCUCAUCAUUGCAAGAGUCCCGGGUAUCUGAACCUUAAAUGAAUGAAUUGAUGACCUAAACAGGGACCUGGCUAUCUCACUUUAAAAAUCAGUCUCUCUAGAGAAUAUGAUCUUUUAUACACGAAUAAUUGAAUAAACAAAACCCUUGCCAUUUGUAGAGAUUUUAUGCUCUACAGCAUAUGCCUUGAUGUGUGAUCUCAUUGGAUCCUCACAUAGCUGAGGAGCCUGGGGCCUGGGAAGAAGUGUCAAAGCCAGGAUCCAAGCCCAGAUAUCUAGUACUUGGAAUCAAAAUUUGAACUUAAAACUCUCUUAGGAAAUGUUCUUAAAUGAGAGAGUGAAUUUGGGAUUAGUCAAAGCAAUUGCUUUUCCCCCAAGCAUGAGCAGCUUUUUGAGAGCCGACUUAGGAGAACACAGGGCUGCAGGAGGCUGGUGUUUUAGCUGGGCCACCUGAGUUCAUAGACCAAGCAGUGAGCACAGCCUAGCAGAAAGCUGAGAGGUGGAGAGGUAUGCACGCAGAGGCACAAGAAAUUUAAAAAUCACACACGCUUAUAACCCACCUUAAGGGAGCUUAUGACUGGACAGAAAGUUCUAGAAGACAGGAACAUAAGACGGUGUGACUUCGGGCUUUGUGAGGAAGACCAGGGACCUCUUGUCUGUCAUGACACACACACACACACACACACACAGAACGGUUCAGCCUCAGGGCUAAGAAAAGGAGAAUUGAACGGAUCCAGUUUCUCCAUAGAACAGGCCUGGGAGGCUCUCCUCGGGAACCUCCCCGCCUCAGCCCUGCCUGCUGCCCCCGCCCUGGGUUCUGAGAGGAGCCUGGCCGGCCCCCAGAGCUCUGGCGUGUAGAAGAGUCAGAGACUGGUGGGAAGAAAAGCUCCCCGAAAAGUCUGGUGCAGGAGAUGGGAGUGAGGAAAGCCUGAGUUCACUGUGGGUGGAAGGAGACGGAGGCAGCCCUGACCUGUGACUUUGUCACCCCAGACAACAGGGCCACAGGCUGCCCAGGCCCAGAGCCACCAAGAAACGCCCCUGAGCAAGGGCCAGCUGCCUGAGUCAUUCUGCCUUCCAGCGCAGGCUUCUGCUGGAAGCUCUGGACAAGUUUUGCUUGCUUCACUCAGGGCCGCAUGGCACCUGGUGACAAAGGCAAUGAAGGAAAAGGGUCCAGCCAGGCUGGGAAGCCUCUCGGGGCAGGGGAGAGAUCUCUUGCUUAUUGUCAGGUUUCUGGAUGAUGAGGAAAUAAACAAAAGAAAGCCAAAAAAUUCAAGGUCAAAAAAAUUAGGGCUUUUAACAGUGUUUGUUUUUAGUAUACUAAUGCUUGAACUACUCCUUUAAAAUCUACAUGCAAUAUGGAGUUCCUAUUGUGACGCAGCAGAAACGAACCCAACCAGUAUCCCCGAGGAUGUGGGUUCGAUCCUGGGCCUGAACCAGUGGGUUAAGGAUCUGAUGUUGUCCUGAGCUGUGGUGUAGGUCGCAGAUGUGGCCUGGAUCUGGUGUGGCUGUGGCUGUGGCUUAGGCCCAGGCCCAAGGCUACAGCUCCAAUUCGACCCCUAGCCUGGGAACCUCCAUAUGCCUCGGGUGAGGCCCUAGAAAGGAAAAAAAUUUUAAAAAAUAAAAUAAAAUUGAUGUGCAAUAUGGCUGUGCUAUUUUCAAGAAAAUUACAGGACUCGUAACAUGGUAAUUCGUAGUUCACCCAUUACGAGGGGUCUGGGGUCUGGCAAUGAGACUCAAGUUUAGUUUUACAAUGAAUGCCUUCUCAGUCCUUUUGUUGUCUCCCCAAGACUACGACAUCCCCAGUGGAGGUAAAGCCAAGAAUCUAACUGCGAGGUCCUUUGUGAUGGGAAGCCCAGAGGGAAUGGCACUCGGGGACCCCCUUGGAGAGGCAUGCCUGGGAAGAGACCACCUUUGAGGAAGGUGGAGCAACAACAGAGGCUGCGAGGCAGUCUCCCCCUCCUCCCUCCUCAUCUGUCUUCCUUCUUUCUUCCCCUCCUUCCUUCCCAUGCUCAGUAUACUCUCUAAGGACUCUCAUGCACACAGGAUAGGGGAGCAUGCAUCUCCUUGUGUGUAGGGUACCGAGACAGGAGUGUGGUGUGCAAAAGUGUGCAGACUGAGUGUCCAGAGGCUGUGUGGGAAGGUGUGAGGAGAUGCCCUCUGUCCCUCGGGGUGAGCUCCACCCUCUCUCCUGUUUCUUGCUGUAUUCAGCUCCUCCCAAGCACCUGACUGAGGACCAAGCAGCUGGUGAGGGGCCACUACGGUCUUCCUUUGAGCAAAGUCAGCAGGAAGCUGGCACUGGGUCACACAAGGCAAGAGUCUAGCUGGUGUGAGUUCCAAGGUGCGUCCCUGGAUCAUGAGGUCAUCCCUCUGCUGGCUCCUCCCACUUCUCCUCAUCUUGGCCUCAGCGGCCCAAGGCCAGCCAACAAGACGACCAAGACCCAGACCAAGGCCCCGGCCAAGACCCAGACCCAGGCCAACACCCAGCUUUCCUGAUCCCCAUGAGCCAUCAGAGCCUACAGACCUGCCUCCUCCCCUCCCACCGGGCCCACCAUCUGUCUUUCCUGACUGUCCCCGGGAGUGCUACUGCCCCUCUGAUUUCCCAUCUGCCCUCUACUGUGACAGCCGCAACCUUCGAAAGGUCCCUGUCAUCCCGUCCCGCAUCCAUUACCUCUAUCUCCAGAACAACUUCAUAACCGAGCUUCCGGUGGAGUCCUUCAAGAAUGCCACAGGCCUGAGGUGGAUCAACCUGGACAACAACCGCAUUCGCAAGGUGGACCAGAGGGUGUUGGAGAAACUGCCCAGCCUGGUGUUCCUCUACAUGGAAAAGAACCAGCUCGAAGAGGUGCCCUCAGCCCUGCCCCGGAACCUGGAGCAGCUCAGGCUGAGCCAGAACCAGAUCUCCAGAAUCCCGCCCGGCGUCUUCAGCAAGCUGGAGAACCUGCUGCUCUUAGAUCUCCAGCACAAUAAGCUGAGUGACGGCGUCUUCAAACCCGACACCUUCCAGGGCCUUAAGAACCUCAUGCAGCUCAACCUGGCCCACAACAUCUUAAGAAAGAUGCCGCCCAAGGUCCCCACGGCCAUUCACCAGCUCUACCUGGACAGCAACAAGAUCGAGACCAUCCCCAAUGGAUACUUCAAGGGUUUCCCCAACCUGGCCUUCAUUCGCCUCAACUACAACAAGCUUUCAGACAGGGGACUCCCCAAGAACUCCUUUAAUAUCUCCAACCUGCUCGUGCUCCACCUGUCACACAACAAGAUCAGCAACGUGCCUGCCAUCAACAACAAGCUGGAGCACCUGUACCUCAACAACAACAGCAUCGAGAAAAUCAAUGGGACCCAGAUUUGCCCCACCGAUCUAGUCGCCUUCCACGACUUCUCCUCGGAUCUGGAGAACGUGCCACACCUCCGCUACCUGCGGCUGGAUGGGAACUACCUGAAGCCGCCCAUCCCACUGGACCUCAUGAUGUGCUUCCGCCUGCUGCAGUCCGUGGUCAUCUAGGCCUUCCUCUGCCCCUGGAGCCCCUGUGACCACACUUGACCCAGGAGCCCAUGCCCACCAUUUGUUUUCUCUGUCUCCUAUACUUGCUCCCACCUUUGCCUUUCUUAUCCCACCUUCCUGAGGCAGGGACAGGCCACAUACUCUGCUGCCCCUGCAGCUUCUAGAGCAAGACGUCUAAAGGCCGUAUUUGGUCCACGCAGCUCAAAGACACACACCACACACCCAAACUCCGGGCCCCAGAAGCAACGCUAUGUGUCUAGAGAUUUUUAUCUUCUCUUCUCCCUCUUCCUCCCCUCAGCCUUCCUGGGUAAGUCUGGGCCAUGGACUGACAUCUGGAUCUUGGUCUUGGCCAGAGCAAGCAGAAGAUGGUCAGGGGCAGCCCCGAAGUGGGGUUUGGAAAGUUCUGCUGGAAAAUGCUCCAUCUUCCAAUAGUGCUGCUUCACUGCCCCAUUCACUGGCACCAGACAUCACACUGGCUCUCUGUCCACCUCUGUUCCCCAGAAAGGAAGGGCAAGGGAAUGGCUGAGGGAGGGUGGAGGGUCAGAGAUUUGCACAAGGGCCUGCGUCAGCUGUCUCAUCAUAGGGACCAGAUGGAACCCUCCUCCUCAGCACACAGCUUCCUGGCUGGGACGCUCUACUCCAAGAGUAAGAGCAGGGAGUCACAGUCAAGGAGAAGAAUGGCUCAGAAAACUAGGAAUCAGUCAAUGGAGCCCUUAGGGGUGCAGAUGGGUCCUACAGCCCCCUUGGCCACUCUGGACAAGGGGCCCAAUGCCCUGGGGAACACAGUCUCCACAGUGGAGGGUACGGAGCCUUCAACCCCGACCUGCCAUCUGUUCUCUAUCAGUGGGAAUGGCCCGGUCCUUUCCAUUCCCCAGAAAAAUUCCUGAGAAACUGCUCAAGAAGGGGCAGAGCGCCUGGAAAUCUCCCAGAAGCCUCUUCCACUUGUGCAGAUUAGCCUCGCCUCCUAAGACAAGACACAGCAGUGACACCUGGUGGCUGGUGCUGGUCAUGUCUCCCCCCACCCCCCCACCCCCCACCCCCACCCUCCACCACCCAUGCUCCUUCUCUUCUCUCUCUGGGAUGAUUUUCCAAGGUCAAGGAGUUGGCCUUGGGUUCCAACUUGAAGAGCCAUGGGCAACAUAUGUGGUCACUCUCUCCUUUGGGAUCUAAAGGGCACAAAGGUAUGGAGGCCCCCAGUUGGAGGGCCUGAGCCCCAUCUUGAAUCAGCACAAGUAGGAACCUUGAGGAACCCAGGUGAGGAUAUGAUUUGUUCCCAUUUGCUGCCUGACCUGCGGCCCUUUCUGCGCUCAGCUUCCAAUGGUAAACCAAGGAGGUGGAUCAAGUGCCCUUCCAAGGACACUUUCGUGCUCAUGUUCCUGCAUGCAGCUCCAUCUUUCAGACCAUGCUCUAUGCAGGACAAGCCCGAAACAGCAUCCCUCUCUCCUGCAAUAAUUUAUUCCCUAUAUGGACCGUCCUUCCCUCAAAGUACCCAUCCUCCCUGCCUGGCCCAGAUAAGCAGGGUGACAGGCCUCCAAGGGGAGCCUGGGCUCCACAAGGCUGACUCGCCUUCACCUUCCCCUUAACUUCUCCUAGGGCAUGCUGCCCCUCUACAGUCCCUUCAGUGUGUGUUGGGGGUGGGGGGGAGGAAUAGUCUAGAAAUAAGUAGGACACAGUGCCUACUCUCAAGUUUGGUUGAGCCAAGUUCCAGAGAGUUUUAAGAAAUUGGAUUAAGCUGGGUCCCAAGGUCAAGAAAUUCCCACUAUACUCUUUUUUCUUUUCACUCUUCUCUGCUAAUUUACAGAAAAUGGGGCCCAUUUCAUCUCCUUCCCCCAUGUUCCCAUACAACUGGUUCGUUCUUCCUAGCUGCAGCUGGUUUCUCCAAGGCUCCUGCUUAAAGUCAAUAUAUUAUUGUGGCUGUAAGCAAUCUGGUGCUAUGGCCUGGAUAAGCCCCCCCUUCUGCACCUUAUUUCUUCCUUGCGCCCUCAGCCCUUCUGGGCAGCACAACUCCCAGGGCUCCCUGGGCGGGGAGGGAUCAUGCCCCUGCUUCUGCAAACCUGAACUGUUUUGUUUUGGCAGCAUUACAUUCAUCAUCAUCCCAUUGCCCCAUCUGGAAGAUGCCUGCUUCCUCCCCUGCUGCCUGCAGCUGUAAACCAGAGGAUAUUAAACUAGUUUUACAGCCACACACACACACACACACAUAUUUGUGGUCAUUUCCCUUGGGAUUAAGGAAGCCCCCUCCUCCCCACACACAAAUUCAUUCCCUCAGUGCUGCUGGCAUAUGCAUACACAGAUGUGUAAGUAGGUGUGCAUGUGUACUCUGUACAUAUAGCUAUUCUUUCCUGAAGACCAUGCUAACUUUAUGAAACUACUUUCACAUUCCAAUGUGCUUCACAGCAGAGGAAAUAAAGUGAUAUG